Molecule: ribosomal RNA, 18 nt
Filed under: Inocybe gomphocephala
Lineage: Eukaryota; Fungi; Basidiomycota; Agaricomycetes; Agaricales; Inocybaceae
Description: partial large subunit ribosomal RNA
Source: RNAcentral
UUGACCUCAAAUCAAGUA